UUCUCAGUAGCUUAGUUGGCAGAGCGUGCGGCUGUUAACCGCAAGGUCGUUGGUUCAAAUCCAAUCUGAGAAG
RNAcentral lists this transfer RNA (73 nucleotides) under Eukaryota sp. BB2. RNAcentral's name for it is "tRNA-Asn". It matches the Rfam family "tRNA". Rfam says of the family: Transfer RNA (tRNA) molecules are approximately 80 nucleotides in length. Their secondary structure includes four short double-helical elements and three loops (D, anti-codon, and T loops). The record is from RNAcentral.